GCGGCAACAGCUCAAAUUUGAAAUCUGGCUCUUUCAGGGUCCGAGUUGUAAUUUGUAGAAGAUGCUUUGGGUGUGGCUCCGGUCUAAGUUCCUUGGAACAGGAUGUCAUAGAGGGUGAGAACCCCGUAUGUGACUGGCUGCCUCCCCCGUGUAAAGCUCUUUCGACGAGUCGAGUUGUUUGGGAAUGCAGCUCAAAAUGGGUGGUAAAUUUCAUCUAAAGCUAAAUAUUGGCCAGAGACCGAUAGCGCACAAGUAGAGUGAUCGAAAGAUGAAAAGCACUUUGGAAAGAGAGUUAAACAGUACGUGAAAUUGUUGAAAGGGAAGCGCUUGCAAUCAGACUUGCGCGCGGCCGAUCAUCCGAGGUUUUCCCCGGUGCACUCGACCGCGCUCAGGCCAGCAUCGGUUUCGGUGGUGGGAUAAAGGCCUUGGGAAUGUGGCUCCUUUCGGGGAGUGUUAUAGCCCUCGGUGCAAUGCCGCCUAUCGGGACCGAGGACCGCGCUUCGGCUAGGAUGCUGGCGUAAUGGUUGCAAGCGACCCGUCUUG
This 543-nucleotide ribosomal RNA is filed under the name Chalara pseudoaffinis. RNAcentral's name for it is "eukaryotic LSU rRNA". It matches the Rfam family "Eukaryotic large subunit ribosomal RNA", at positions 98 to 656 of the family's 3401-position model. The record is from RNAcentral. Lineage: Eukaryota; Fungi; Ascomycota; Leotiomycetes; Helotiales.